GGCCCAGUGGCGAAGUUGGUUAACGCGACGGUCUGCAAAACCGUUAUGCACCGGUUCGAAUCCGGUCUGGGCCU
Molecule: transfer RNA, 74 nt
Filed under: bacterium
Lineage: Bacteria
Description: tRNA-Cys
Rfam family: tRNA
About the family: Transfer RNA (tRNA) molecules are approximately 80 nucleotides in length. Their secondary structure includes four short double-helical elements and three loops (D, anti-codon, and T loops). Further hydrogen bonds mediate the characteristic L-shaped molecular structure. tRNAs have two regions of fundamental functional importance: the anti-codon, which is responsible for specific mRNA codon recognition, and the 3' end, to which the tRNAs corresponding amino acid is attached (by aminoacyl-tRNA synthetases). tRNAs cope with the degeneracy of the genetic code in two manners: having more than one tRNA (with a specific anti-codon) for a particular amino acid; and 'wobble' base-pairing, i.e. permitting non-standard base-pairing at the 3rd anti-codon position.
Source: RNAcentral